This 389-nucleotide ribosomal RNA is filed under the name uncultured bacterium. RNAcentral's name for it is "bacterial SSU rRNA". It matches the Rfam family "Bacterial small subunit ribosomal RNA", at positions 30 to 418 of the family's 1533-position model. The record is from RNAcentral.
AUUGAACGCUGGCGGCAUGCCUUACACAUGCAAGUCGAACGGCAGCGCGGGGCAACCUGGCGGCGAGUGGCGAACGGGUGAGUAAUAUAUCGGAACAUACCCUAGAGUGGGGAUAACGUAGCGAAAGUUACGCUAAUACCGCAUACGCACUAAGGUGGAAAGUGGGGGAUUCGCAAGAACCUCAUGCUCAUGGAGUGGCCGAUAUCUGAUUAGCUAGUUGGUGAGGUAAAGGCUCACCAAGGCAACGAUCAGUAGCUGGUUUGAGAGAACGACCAGCCACACUGGAACUGAGACACGGUCCAGACUCCUACGGGAGGCAGCAGUGGGGAAUUUUGGGACAAUGGGGGGCAACCCUGAUCCAGCAAUGCCGCGUGAGUGAAGAAGGCCUC